RNAcentral lists this ribosomal RNA (508 nucleotides) under uncultured Glomus. Its description in RNAcentral is "SSU rRNA". It matches the Rfam family "Eukaryotic small subunit ribosomal RNA", at positions 569 to 1078 of the family's 1831-position model. Lineage: Eukaryota; Fungi; Glomeromycota; Glomeromycetes; Glomerales; Glomeraceae. The record is from RNAcentral.
AGCAGCCGCGGUAAUUCCAGCUCCAAUAGCGUAUAUUAAAGUUGUUGCAGUUAAAAAGCUCGUAGUUGAAUUUCGGGGUUAGUAGGUUGGUCAUGCCUCUGGUAUGUACUGGUCUCACUGAUUCCUCCUUCCUGAUGAGCCGUAAUGCCAUUAAUUUGGUGUUGCGGGGAAUUUGGACUGUUACUUUGAAAAAAUUAGAGUGUUUAAAGCAAGCUAACGCUUGAAUACAUUAGCAUGGAAUAAUGAAAUAGGACGUUCGAUCCUAUUUUGUUGGUUUCUAGGAUUGACGUAAUGAUUAAUAGGGAUAGUUGGGGGCAUUAGUAUUCAAUUGUCAGAGGUGAAAUUCUUGGAUUUAUUGAAGACUAACUACUGCGAAAGCAUUUGCCAAGGAUGUUUUCAUUAAUCAAGAACGAAAGUUAGGGGAUCGAAGACGAUCAGAUACCGUCGCAGUCUUAACCAUAAACUAUGCCGACUAGGGAUCGGAUGAUGUUAAUUUUUUAAUGACUCA